Non-coding RNA from Rattus norvegicus (Norway rat), 1175 nucleotides. NCBI's taxonomy places the organism in Eukaryota, Metazoa, Chordata, Mammalia, Rodentia, Muridae. The record is from RefSeq and is a predicted model, not a curated record.
CAUCGCUGAUAUGAUGGUGGGAAGCAGCCAUCUUGCCACGUCAUACCCUCUACAGCUCCUGUGGUUAAAUGGGCCGUUAUGUUCUGUGUCUGAAGGACUCCCUCAGAGUGACUGGAGAAACUGAGUCUUGUGGGAACUGAGCUGACCCAGGCCAGCAAUAUAGAUCGUCAGUCUCCUUGGCUGGGGCAAUGAGAGAAGGGUCGGAUUCUGUUCUCACUUCCUCUCUAGUCCUGGCCUCCGCUUCUGAGUCAGAGGAGCCCUGAAAUGGCCUAAAAUAGCCUCGUGGCUGGCAGCGUGCAGCUUUAGCGAUCCACGCCACGGCUUGCAUAUUGAUUUCGAUUUUUUUGGUUCUUAUCAAGAUAUAUUCCUCAUCCCUUCAGAGCUGAAGACAGAGAGAAUCACUGCCUUAAACCUGCGGUCGCCUUGGAUUUUUGGAAGUACAAAACCUGGAAGGUCAGGCCACGCCCAGAUGACAGUGAUCACCCGUGCGGGCCAAGCUGCACUCUGAAGCAGAAGUGACCAUCUCCUAGGAACCAGAUUGACCCAGGGUAGCAUCCUCAGGCCACCACACUGGACCCAAGCUGAGAGCUGUUCCACAAGAGACUCUGUACCUGAUGGAAGCCUGUUCUUGUUUGGAGGAAUAACUAAAAACGAUGACUACGACGAUGACGAAAACGACGAUGACGAGGACAACCCGUAAAGUCAGGGAUGGAACUGGUGAAAUACAAGGAACUUCCCAGAAGAUCCUAAACCCUAGGAAGAAAGGCAAUAGGGGUAGGAGUAGGAGAAGGGGGAGAACCGGAAGGAGGGGAGGAACCAUCCUCCCAGGCUCCUGGAGCACUCUGCCACGCCCCUAACCUUGAGGGGGCGGGGCUUAGCUAGGGGUAAGGAAGCAUCCAUGUUGGGUUGCUGCUUGUUUGUGGCGUGUUUUCUCUGGUUCCUUCUUGUCUCAGAGCCUGCUUUCUGUCUAGCUGCUCAUCUCCCCGAUGUGUUCUGCUCAAGCCCAGAGAGCCAAGUGGCCAUGGGUUGAAGCCUCUGGAACCGUGAGCCAAAAUGAAUAACCUCACUCCCUUAGGUUGUUUCUCUUGAGUAUGGGAUCCCAGCAGCAAGAACGCUAACGAAUAUCGACUCCAAGGGUGCCAAUCUGAAGUUAAUAAAAAUAUAUUUGUAUUUUA